UUACUUUGGCAGCACAUAUACUAAAACUGGAACAAUGCAGAGAAGAUUAGCAUGGUCCCUGCACGGGGACGACACACAAAUUCGUGAAGCCUUCCAUAUUUUU
RNAcentral lists this small nuclear RNA (103 nucleotides) under Microtus ochrogaster (prairie vole). The record is from RNAcentral. Lineage: Eukaryota; Metazoa; Chordata; Mammalia; Rodentia; Cricetidae.